This 253-nucleotide ribosomal RNA is filed under the name uncultured bacterium. RNAcentral describes it as "partial 16S ribosomal RNA". It matches the Rfam family "Bacterial small subunit ribosomal RNA", at positions 524 to 776 of the family's 1533-position model. The record is from RNAcentral.
UACAGAGGGGGCAAGCGUUGUCCGGAUUUAUUGGGCGUAAAGGGCGCGUAGGCGGUGAGAUGCGUCUGUUGUGAAAUCGCUCGGCUCAACUGGGCGGGGUCAGCGGAUACGGUCUCACUUGAGCAAGCUAGGGGGCAAUGGAAUUCCCGGUGUAGUGGUGGAAUGCGUAGAUAUCGUCUGGAACGCCGAAGGUGAAAACAGCUCGCUGGGGCUGCGCUGACGCUGAGACACGAAAGCCAGGGGAGCGAACGGG